Molecule: long non-coding RNA, 597 nt
Organism: Homo sapiens (human)
Lineage: Eukaryota; Metazoa; Chordata; Mammalia; Primates; Hominidae
Exons: 3
Source: RefSeq, a predicted model, not a curated record
CUCUAGAAGCAGAGAGUGGCCCCUGGCUGACUGCUGGCAAGGGUACCUCAAUCCUACAACUACAAGGAACUAAAUUCUGCCAACAGCUUGGAUAAGCUUGGAAGAAGAUUUUUCCACAGAUCCUUCAGAUAAGAGUUAGGUUCAGCCUUCUGAAGAAUUUGAGAAUCCAUCAUUGCACUGGAAAAUGGAACAAAAAGUCGACUUCAAAGGACCUUGCCCACAAAAGACACCAGAAUGGCAUGAAAAUGCACCUCACAGACAGAGCACCCAGCUGCUGUGCUUUGAAGUCAGCCACACCUCCCAUUCAUUGCUGUUACCAAUGGACUGACUGAAUGCUGUGGCGAUACUGAGGCCGUCUUAGUCCCGGAAGACAGGUGGGGCUCCUUUGUCCACCGCUUAGGCUGGAGUACUUCCCCAUGGCUUUGACAAACAAUCCUUAGACUGCAGAGUAGUGUAGGAUUCUUCCAUUCAACCUUCUCUCCCUCAUCCUGGGGUCAGACUUGGAUGCAGUCCGACAGCUGUCCCAGCCUUUCCUAGCUCCUUCUUUAUUUCUUUUUACACAGGCAUUUCCCACUAUUAAAAUCCUGACAUAUUUAA